UACAGAGGUGCCAAGCGUUGUCCGGAUUUAUUGGGCGUAAAGAGCGUGUAGGCGGCCAGAUAAGUCCGCUGUGAAAUCUCGAGGCUCAACUUCGAGCUGUCGGUGGAAACUGUCCGGCUAGAGUCCGGAAGAGGAGAAUGGAAUUCCUGGUGUAGCGGUGAAAUGCGCAGAUAUCAGGAAGAACACCCGUGGCGAAGGCGGUUCUCUGGGACGGUACUGACGCUGAGACGCGAAAGCGUGGGGAGCGAACAGG
This 253-nucleotide ribosomal RNA is filed under the name uncultured bacterium. RNAcentral describes it as "partial 16S ribosomal RNA". It matches the Rfam family "Bacterial small subunit ribosomal RNA", at positions 524 to 776 of the family's 1533-position model. The record is from RNAcentral.